CCGGUCUCUUUCUUUCUGUUCGCUUUGCCUAGCUGACAUGGACAAGAACAUGGCGCCUUUAACUGGGAUGCCUGGGUGUUUAUGUUUUCCUGCAUCACUGGUGCAUCCAGAGCUUCCAAAAGUAAUGGUCAUGGAUAGCCAUCCUGGCCAAACUUGAGCUCUGCCGACGCGACCUGGGUUGCGACCUUCAUGAAGAUGUUGGUGCAGCAUACAAGUAAGCAAGCUGUAGUUUUUCCCCUUUACCACAAAUUUCCUGAGGUCUAUCCCGACUGGCCCCUCACAGUAGAGUCGUGUCGUUGGAAAUGCCUCAAAGACGAACUCUGUGGUAUAGCUUUACCCAUCGUGUUACUCCCGUUAACUCUGUGGGCAAAUGCUGCAGGACAAAACGUUUGCACUGUGCACUUCUGACUUCAGGACAAAUCCAAAGGGAAUCAAUUUUAUCCGCGUUAACCUUUCCGAUUUAUUUUUAUUUGCUCAUAUUAACGUUUUCUUCUCAUUGAUUAUUCGUGUCCAGGGGCUGCACGCCUCCUCAGUUAAUAUUCGUCAGUGCAUUAUCACUGACAGUGAACGUUUCCAUAUGGUUUAUAAAAAGGUGUAGACCUAAUGGAUUGUUUUAGAUUCUUGGCAGGUAAGGAACCAUUUUAGAUAAAGGUUUCAACCGUUCAAAUGGACUGUUCCAUUUGGAUUUGUGAAAUAUUGGGAACAUUUAAUGUUUAAGAAAGUGAGUUGUAACACUCUGUGUGCUGUUCUUGUUGCAGCUCUGGUGUCCAGACGAGGGCGCACUUGUCCCACAGCUGGUGAGUGUUGAGCCUGAAUUUCAUGACAAGUUGGUUGAAGGUUGUUUUGAUUUUACAUUUUUCCAGCACUGUGUGGUAUCUGCAUCCAGUCGUAUAUAUCUAACUGGAUUGUUCAAAUGGCAGUGCAAGAGCAACUCGAACACCUUCCGCCAUGGACCUUAUAGCCUUCGUGCGUUGGGUCCAAGGUGGUGACGAGACAUGCCAUGGCUUUAAAAAAAAAAACUCUCCUAGAGUAUUUCUUUUGAUCGCGUGCUUAAAUUGACUUUCUGUUUUGUAGGAACGUCCGUCCUGAGAGACCCUUGCGUUAACGAUGUGGUGCUGUUUAAUGAUUGGUAUGUAUACAUGUCCGUUUAUCCAUCCAGGUUCACACCUACUUCCUGUGUCACUUCAGUAAGCACUUUUUACGGCACUGCUCAAGCAUUUCCCCACAGUCCUAAAUAUUAGAGGAAAUCUUGGGUAUUGCAUAUGUGUGAACUAUUGCGAGGUGUUUGCUGCGUUGUGCUGAUGGGAUUCAAAGCUGGCUGGUUGUUGGAUCACUUCAUGUUUUAAAAGAAAUUCAUAAUUUAAUUUGGCAUGGUAGAAGAGAACCAACAAAUAUAAAACAAUGGAUAGAAAUUGUAAGGGAACAUGUGUUGGUAAAAAAUGACUUCCUGUCUAUGGUUGAAGGAAAGUGGUGUUUGUUUUUUUUAAUUAAAUGGAGGGGUAUGAUUAUAUAACAAUACAUAUGGGUGAAGGACAUGCAAAUACAAGGAUUUUUUCGUGUAAUGCUCCAUUAUAACCUUAGACAAUCUUGUUCUCUCCCUGCCUAGUUUGAUUGUGAUGUGUUGUCUCGUUAUAUAUGCAUGCACGCACCUGUGAUGGUUAACUAGAAGCAUGUAUGACCAUGACUCAUUUUAGGUUGGUGAGGAAAAUCCAGCAAUUAUCAGUUUUAUAGUUUUAUUUCAGUAUUUGUUUUUUCAGUGAGCUUUCUGACAAACGUGGAUUUCUUGAUUUUGAUUUCUCAGUGAGAAUCAUCAAUCAGCCAAUUUUAUUGGUGGAAACCAUAAUCCACUUUUUCCCAAAGUUUCCCUCUUUGGUGUGAAUAAAUACUGCACCCAAAUAUUACCAAACACGGUCAGCACUGUUUCAAAUGCCUUAAAUGUUUCUGCAUUAUUUAACAUGAACAAACUAUUAACCCUAAGCAGUAGUUGACAAUCAGUAAAAUUCUGCCAAACAAAGCAAGUUUGCCAAGGACCAAUUCAUUAAGCAGUGUUUAUUCCAUGAGAGAGAAUCGGGCGUGGGCGUUCCAUAACGUUUGUGCUGGCUGAUUUGGUGCCUGCCAAUGCCGUCACCCAAAGCCCUAGUUUCAGUACUGACGUUUUUAGUGUUGUGCUGAAAUGCAGUGCCGUUUGUGAAACCCUCGCUUGUUUUGUCGCCGUUAUUUUUUGCGGCUGCUGUGUUUCACAUGCCCGGUUUGAGGCCGUGCCGUCAGGCUUUAGCCAGCGAGCGCGCGCACACGAGCACUUGUGGUAUUUUCACAUGAAUUCAGCCACAGCUCUAACCCCCGAGCCUUGACCUGCACUAGUCAGCGUCUAGAAAGAUUUGUUGAGCUGAAAAAAACUGUAAUCAUUAAUUUAACCUGUUUGCAGGUCCAUCCUGAGACUGCACUGAGAUUCAGGAAUCCAAGUCAGGUUUUGAAGUGGGCACAUUGUCGUGGCCGUGGGCUUCUCCGAAACGAACGGUGAGACUCUCUAAGCAGCAGACGGGAUCACAUUUCAAAGGGGGUCAGCCACGUAUCACCACUGGCGAUCCUUAACGCCGUGAUCCCACAUCAGCGCCCUGAGAGAUACCGUGCAGGUUUCUUUUGGAUUGACGAGAUGCCUGCUGUCUGAAGGGCAACAUUUCAAUCUUUUGCAACAUAACGUCUCCGAUACUGAAAAGCAUUUGCAGGCUUUCAGGGACUGCAGUUGUUUACUUUGCACCUCAUUGGUUGGUCAUGUGAUGGACAGUAGUAUCGCUCGGGGGAAGUUCAUGACCGUAGUCCUGCUGUACAGCCGCAAUAAGCAUUCAUUAGCUUUAUAAGAACGCAGUGACGUCUAUAUACGUAAAAUAAUGGGCACAAAGGAUGACAUAAACGCUUUAUUGCGAUGUACAGGACUAAUUUGUAACUUUAGUGCUCGUGUUAUUCCCGUUUAUGAUAUCCUCUGACCUUGGGUUUUUGUUUUUUUGUUUUCUUCCUAGUUCAACAGAUGAACCAGGAAGUCUGCUGAUGAACAAAAGGAUGUCUGCGUGGCUCUCUGUAAUGUUUCCAAUAAAAGUAUUUGAGAUCUGAUGUGUAGGUUUGAAAUGUUUUGUUUUAUCUAAAAACGAAAGCUUGUUUUUAUCCCAUUGUAUUUGUCUCUGUGGUUAACAUGUACAGUACUAACUUCCUUUUAUACCAGAGGAACUACUUGGGUUUUUUUUUUUUUUUUCUGUCUCAUGUUGUCACGUGUUUUUGUUCUUGGGUCGUGUGGGCUUUCUGGCGUCUUGCACAACACGUCCUUCUGGGAAUAUCGUAACGCCAUCAUGCCUGCUUUCAGCAGUUCGUAAUGGGUUUGGUUGUGUUGUAAGAGGUUAGACACGGACAUGUGACAUCUCGCUGUUUAUUGAGAUGUACCCCUACGACGCGGCUUACCCGUCUACCGCCAUUUUGAACUUGUUUAAGGUAAACGAUGAUAUCCGGUAUGAUGAACGAUGACAUGGUGUGAUUGAAACAGGAGGCUGCAUCCUUGUAGGUGUUUAUUGAAAGCGUCAUGGCACAUAAACGCAGAGCCGUUCGUGCGUCACCCGGAUGAUCACAGGAAUACAGAGAGCACUUAAGCAGCAUUAAGACGGGAGACUUUCUGCCAAGCAGAGACUCUGCUCUUGGCGUUUCCCACGGGUCAUGGGAUGCAGAUUAAAGGAUUCUCUUCAGAGAGCACAGCUUUCAGCUCUCCCUUCUUCCCCCCCGUUUGUUUGGCUGAAAGUGCUGCUGUUUGAGAUGUUCCAGUCAGUUUUAUUUUAUACUGAAUCAAAUGUGCUGAGAAAUGGAAAAGGAGGUAGAACAGGCAUCAUGGCUUAUGGCCUGAUGUAGUUUAGCUAUGAUUUAAACUGAUGGUAACGAGUGUAUUUGUGAAGCCUACUUAAUGACACUGAGUUGUUUUUUUUGGCUUUUAUUGUUGAAAGCUGAGGCUCAUGUUAUUAAAAGUUGGUAUGAGCCUAAUUGCUCCCUUGAGUGUGCUCAGUCACAUGAAUUUGUUUCUUAUAGGAUGUUCAUAGGAAACUAUCAAAUCUACGUUUGUAACUGGUUAUGUGGGUCCAAAGUUCAGGAAUAAGAAACUCGAUGCUUCAAUACAUGUGCUGGUAAAUAAUUGGUUUUUGACUCUGUUCUAUGGUCGAUAAGGCAUAUGGGGACUUUUUCUAUCCUCACUGCCAUCCCCC
Ictalurus punctatus (channel catfish) is the source of this 4235-nucleotide long non-coding RNA. Lineage: Eukaryota; Metazoa; Chordata; Actinopteri; Siluriformes; Ictaluridae. The record is from Ensembl.